This 304-nucleotide ribosomal RNA is filed under the name uncultured Sulfurimonas sp. RNAcentral's name for it is "bacterial SSU rRNA". It matches the Rfam family "Bacterial small subunit ribosomal RNA", at positions 29 to 334 of the family's 1533-position model. The record is from RNAcentral. Lineage: Bacteria; Pseudomonadati; Campylobacterota; Epsilonproteobacteria; Campylobacterales; Sulfurimonadaceae.
AGUGAACGCUGGCGGCGUGCUUAACACAUGCAAGUCGAACGAUGAAGCCUAGCUUGCUAGGUGGAUUAGUGGCGCACGGGUGAGUAAUAUAUAGAUAACGUGCCUCUUAGUCUGGGAUAGCCAUUGGAAACGAUGAUUAAUACUAGAUACUCCUUCUCAUUCUAAUAUGAGUCGGGAAAGUUUUUCGCUAAGAGAUCGGUCUAUAUCCCAUCAGUUAGUUGGUAAGGUAACGGCUUACCAAGGCAAUGACGGGUAGCGGGUUUGAGAGGAUGAUCCGCCACACUGGUACUGAGACACGGACCAG